UUGGUUAAGAAGGAACUACAGAUGCUGGAAUAUCGAAGGUACACAAAAUUGCUGGGGAAACUCAGCGGGUGCAGCAGCAUCUAUGGAGCGAAGGAAAUAGGCGACGUUUCGGGCCGAAACCCUUCUUCAGAC
This is a long non-coding RNA of Amblyraja radiata (thorny skate), 132 nucleotides long. RefSeq lists it as uncharacterized. The transcript is spliced from 3 exons. The record is from RefSeq and is a predicted model, not a curated record. NCBI's taxonomy places the organism in Eukaryota, Metazoa, Chordata, Chondrichthyes, Rajiformes, Rajidae.